CCGAGUUAGGGUCUCAGGCCCGAUCUCCCAACCCUAUGUUUAUUAAACCUCUGUUGCUUCGGCGGGCCCGCCUCCACGGCCGCUGGGGGACCUUUACCGGUCCUCUGGCCAGUGCCUGCCGAUAGCCCCUCUUUAAACUCUGAAUGAAACAUGUCUUAUGUCUAAGUCUACAAUAAAUUAAAGCA
Molecule: unclassified non-coding RNA, 185 nt
Filed under: uncultured Chaetothyriales
Lineage: Eukaryota; Fungi; Ascomycota; Eurotiomycetes; Chaetothyriales
Description: sequence contains ITS1
Source: RNAcentral